This 746-nucleotide ribosomal RNA is filed under the name uncultured bacterium. Its description in RNAcentral is "bacterial SSU rRNA". It matches the Rfam family "Bacterial small subunit ribosomal RNA", at positions 8 to 796 of the family's 1533-position model. The record is from RNAcentral.
AGAGUUUGAUCAUGGCUCAGAGCGAACGCUGGCGGCAUGCUUAACACAUGCAAGUCGCACGGUUGGGGUAACUCAACAGUGGCGGACGGGUGAGUAACGCGUGGGGAUCUGUCUCCGGGUGGGGGAUAACCAUGGGAAACUAUGGCUAAUACCGCAUGAUACCCGAGGGUCAAAGGCGCAAGUCGCCUGGAGAGGAACCCGCGUACGAUUAGCUAGUUGGUGGGGUAAAGGCCUACCAAGGCGACGAUCGUUAGCUGGUCUGAGAGGAUGAUCAGCCACACUGGGACUGAGACACGGCCCAGACUCCUACGGGAGGCAGCAGUGGGGAAUAUUGGACAAUGGGCGCAAGCCUGAUCCAGCAAUGCCGCGUGAGUGAAGAAGGUCUUCGGAUUGUAAAGCUCUUUCGACGGGGACGAUGAUGACGGUACCCGUAGAAGAAGCCCCGGCUAACUUCGUGCCAGCAGCCGCGGUAAUACGAAGGGGGCUAGCGUUGCUCGGAAUGACUGGGCGUAAAGGGCGCGUAGGCGGUGUACACAGUCAGAUGUGAAAUUCCCGGGCUCAACCUGGGGGCUGCAUUUGAUACAUGUACGCUUGAGUUCGGAAGAGGGUCGUGGAAUUCCCAGUGUAGAGGUGAAAUUCGUAGAUAUUGGGAAGAACACCGGUGGCGAAGGCGGCGACCUGGUCCGAUACUGACGCUGAGGCGCGAAAGCGUGGGGAGCAAACAGGAUUAGAUACCCCCGUAGUCC